This 1334-nucleotide ribosomal RNA is filed under the name uncultured bacterium. RNAcentral's name for it is "bacterial SSU rRNA". It matches the Rfam family "Bacterial small subunit ribosomal RNA", at positions 28 to 1382 of the family's 1533-position model. The record is from RNAcentral.
GACGAACGCUGGCGGCGCGCCUAACACAUGCAAGUCGAACGAGAGAUGAGGAGCUUGCUCUUCAAAUCGAGUGGCGAACGGGUGAGUAACGCGUGAGGAACCUGCCUCAAAGAGGGGGACAACAGUUGGAAACGACUGCUAAUACCGCAUAAGCCCACGGCUCGGCAUCGAGCAGAGGGAAAAGGAGCAAUCCGCUUUGAGAUGGCCUCGCGUCCGAUUAGCUAGUUGGUGAGGUAAUGGCCCACCAAGGCGACGAUCGGUAGCCGGACUGAGAGGUUGAACGGCCACAUUGGGACUGAGACACGGCCCAGACUCCUACGGGAGGCAGCAGUGGGGAAUAUUGCACAAUGGGGGAAACCCUGAUGCAGCGACGCCGCGUGGAGGAAGAAGGUCUUCGGAUUGUAAACUCCUGUUGUUGAGGAAGAUAAUGACGGUACUCAACAAGGAAGUGACGGCUAACUACGUGCCAGCAGCCGCGGUAAAACGUAGGUCACAAGCGUUGUCCGGAAUUACUGGGUGUAAAGGGAGCGCAGGCGGGAGAACAAGUUGGAAGUGAAAUCCAUGGGCUCAACCCAUGAACUGCUUUCAAAACUGUUUUUCUUGAGUAGUGCAGAGGUAGGCGGAAUUCCCGGUGUAGCGGUGGAAUGCGUAGAUAUCGGGAGGAACACCAGUGGCGAAGGCGGCCUACUGGGCACCAACUGACGCUGAGGCUCGAAAGUGUGGGUAGCAAACAGGAUUAGAUACCCUGGUAGUCCACACCGUAAACGAUGAUUACUAGGUGUUGGAGGAUUGACCCCUUCAGUGCCGCAGUUAACACAAUAAGUAAUCCACCUGGGGAGUACGACCGCAAGGUUGAAACUCAAAGGAAUUGACGGGGGCCCGCACAAGCAGUGGAGUAUGUGGUUUAAUUCGACGCAACGCGAAGAACCUUACCAAGUCUUGACAUCCCUUGACGAACAUAGAAAUAUGUUUUCUCUUCGGAGCAAGGAGACAGGUGGUGCAUGGUUGUCGUCAGCUCGUGUCGUGAGAUGUUGGGUUAAGUCCCGCAACGAGCGCAACCCUUAUGGUCAGUUACUACGUAAGAGGACUCUGGCCAGACUGCCGUUGACAAAACGGAGGAAGGUGGGGAUGACGUCAAAUCAUCAUGCCCUUUAUGACUUGGGCUACACACGUACUACAAUGGCGUUAAACAAAGAGAAGCAAGACCGCGAGGUGGAGCAAAACUCAGAAACAACGUCCCAGUUCGGACUGCAGGCUGCAACUCGCCUGCACGAAGUCGGAAUUGCUAGUAAUCGUGGAUCAGCAUGCCACGGUGAAAUACGUUCCCGGGCCUU